GCCCGGGUGGCGGAAUUGGUAGACGCCUGGGACUUAAAAUCCCAUGCUCCGUAUGGGGCGUGCCGGUUCGAGUCCGGCCCCGGGUACUA
RNAcentral lists this transfer RNA (89 nucleotides) under Candidatus Zhuqueibacterota bacterium 4484_188. Its description in RNAcentral is "candidate division KSB1 bacterium 4484_188 tRNA-Leu". It matches the Rfam family "tRNA". From Rfam's summary of the family: Transfer RNA (tRNA) molecules are approximately 80 nucleotides in length. The record is from RNAcentral. RNAcentral also lists the same sequence under 1 other name. Lineage: Bacteria; Pseudomonadati.